Molecule: ribosomal RNA, 980 nt
Filed under: Arthrobacter sp.
Lineage: Bacteria; Bacillati; Actinomycetota; Actinomycetes; Micrococcales; Micrococcaceae
Description: bacterial SSU rRNA
Rfam family: Bacterial small subunit ribosomal RNA
Source: RNAcentral
CAGUAGGGAAGAAGCGUAAGUGACGGUACCUGCAGAAGAAGCGCCGGCUAACUACGUGCCAGCAGCCGCGGUAAUACGUAGGGCGCAAGCGUUAUCCGGAAUUAUUGGGCGUAAAGAGCUCGUAGGCGGUUUGUCGCGUCUGCUGUGAAAGACCGGGGCUCAACUCCGGUUCUGCAGUGGGUACGGGCAGACUAGAGUGCAGUAGGGGAGACUGGAAUUCCUGGUGUAGCGGUGAAAUGCGCAGAUAUCAGGAGGAACACCGAUGGCGAAGGCAGGUCUCUGGGCUGUAACUGACGCUGAGGAGCGAAAGCAUGGGGAGCGAACAGGAUUAGAUACCCUGGUAGUCCAUGCCGUAAACGUUGGGCACUAGGUGUGGGGGACAUUCCACGUUUUCCGCGCCGUAGCUAACGCAUUAAGUGCCCCGCCUGGGGAGUACGGCCGCAAGGCUAAAACUCAAAGGAAUUGACGGGGGCCCGCACAAGCGGCGGAGCAUGCGGAUUAAUUCGAUGCAACGCGAAGAACCUUACCAAGGCUUGACAUGAACCGGAAAGAUCUGGAAACAGGUGCCCCGCUUGCGGUCGGUUUACAGGUGGUGCAUGGUUGUCGUCAGCUCGUGUCGUGAGAUGUUGGGUUAAGUCCCGCAACGAGCGCAACCCUCGUUCUAUGUUGCCAGCGCGUUAUGGCGGGGACUCAUAGGAGACUGCCGGGGUCAACUCGGAGGAAGGUGGGGACGACGUCAAAUCAUCAUGCCCCUUAUGUCUUGGGCUUCACGCAUGCUACAAUGGCCGGUACAAAGGGUUGCGAUACUGUGAGGUGGAGCUAAUCCCAAAAAGCCGGUCUCAGUUCGGAUUGGGGUCUGCAACUCGACCCCAUGAAGUCGGAGUCGCUAGUAAUCGCAGAUCAGCAACGCUGCGGUGAAUACGUUCCCGGGCCUUGUACACACCGCCCGUCAAGUCACGAAAGUUGGUAACACCCGAAGC